GGAAUAUUGGACAAUGGGCGAAAGCCUGAUCCAGCAAUGCCGCGUGUGUGAAGAAGGCCUGCGGGUUGUAAAGCACUUUUGCGGGGAACGAGGGGUGGUGCGCCAAUACCGUGAUCACCUGACGGUACCCUGCGAAUAAGCACCGGCCAACUCCGUGCCAGCAGCCGCGGUAAUACGGAGGGUGCGAGCGUUAAUCGGAAUUACUGGGCGUAAAGCGGGCGUAGGCGGCUGAUCAAGUCCGAGGUGAAAGCCCCGGGCUCAACCCGGGAACGGCGUUGGAGACUGAUCGGCUGGAGUGCGACAGAGGGUGGUGGAAUUCCCGGUGUAGCGGUGAAAUGCGUAGAGAUCGGGAGGAACAUCGAUGGCGAAGGCAACCGCCUGGGUCGACACUGACGCUGAGGUGCGAAAGCGUGGGGAGCAAAC
RNAcentral lists this ribosomal RNA (423 nucleotides) under uncultured bacterium. Its description in RNAcentral is "bacterial SSU rRNA". It matches the Rfam family "Bacterial small subunit ribosomal RNA", at positions 358 to 773 of the family's 1533-position model. The record is from RNAcentral.